UACGAGGGGUCCUAGCGUUGUUCGGAAUUAUUGGGCGUAAAGCGUGUGUAGGCGGCCUAGCAAGUCAGUUGUGAAAGCCCCGGGCUCAACCCGGGAAGUGCUUCUGAUACUGCUUGGCUUGAGUACUGGAGAGGAUAGUGGAAUUCCAGGUGUAGUGGUGAAAUACGUAGAUAUCUGGAGGAACACCUGAGGCGAAGGCGGGUUGCUUGGCCGACACUGACGCUGAGGCGCGAAAGCCAGGGGAGCAAACGGG
RNAcentral lists this ribosomal RNA (253 nucleotides) under uncultured bacterium. Its description in RNAcentral is "partial 16S ribosomal RNA". It matches the Rfam family "Bacterial small subunit ribosomal RNA", at positions 524 to 776 of the family's 1533-position model. The record is from RNAcentral.